Small nuclear RNA from Oryctolagus cuniculus (rabbit), 151 nucleotides. Its record names the gene U2. It matches the Rfam family "U2 spliceosomal RNA". From Rfam's summary of the family: U2 is a small nuclear RNA (snRNA) component of the spliceosome (involved in pre-mRNA splicing). Complementary binding between U2 snRNA (in an area lying towards the 5' end but 3' to hairpin I) and the branchpoint sequence (BPS) of the intron results the bulging out of an unpaired adenosine, on the BPS, which initiates a nucleophilic attack at the intronic 5' splice site, thus starting the first of two transesterification reactions that mediate splicing. The record is from Ensembl. Lineage: Eukaryota; Metazoa; Chordata; Mammalia; Lagomorpha; Leporidae.
AUCACUUCUCGGCCUUUUGGCUAAGAUCAAGUGUAGUAUAAAUAUAUUGGCUAAAUGAACAAAACUCUCUAAAGCAAGUUUUCCUUUAUUCAGUUUGCUACAGAAAUGCACAAGACAAUGGAAGCUACAGGAGUUUCCUUACUCAGCAGCA